UACGUAGGGUGCGAGCGUUGUCCGGAAUUAUUGGGCGUAAAGAGCUCGUAGGCGGUUUGUCACGUCUGCUGUGAAAUCCCGAGGCUCAACCUCGGGCCUGCAGUGGGUACGGGCAGACUGGAGUGCGGUAGGGGAGAUUGGAAUUCCUGGUGUAGCGGUGGAAUGCGCAGAUAUCAGGAGGAACACCGAUGGCUAAGGCAGAUCUCUGGGCCGUAACUGACGCUGAGGAGCGAAAGCCAGGGGAGCAAACGGG
This 253-nucleotide ribosomal RNA is filed under the name uncultured bacterium. RNAcentral describes it as "partial 16S ribosomal RNA". It matches the Rfam family "Bacterial small subunit ribosomal RNA", at positions 524 to 776 of the family's 1533-position model. The record is from RNAcentral.